Molecule: ribosomal RNA, 124 nt
Filed under: Otolejeunea moniliata
Lineage: Eukaryota; Viridiplantae; Streptophyta; Jungermanniopsida; Porellales; Lejeuneaceae
Also listed under: 1 other name
Description: partial 18S ribosomal RNA
Rfam family: Eukaryotic small subunit ribosomal RNA
Source: RNAcentral
GGAUCGCGGCGACGCCGGCGGUUCGCUGCCGUUGUUGUUGUGAGAAGUUCAUUAAACCUUAUCAUUUAGAGGAAGGAGAAGUCGUAACAAGGUUUCCGUAGGUGAACCUGCGGAAGGAUCAUUG